ACCUGGAUGGCUCAGUCAGUAGAGCAUGUGACUCUUGAUCUUAGGGUCGUGAGUUCAAACCCCAUGUUGGGUG
RNAcentral lists this transfer RNA (73 nucleotides) under Ailuropoda melanoleuca (giant panda). It matches the Rfam family "tRNA". From Rfam's summary of the family: Transfer RNA (tRNA) molecules are approximately 80 nucleotides in length. Their secondary structure includes four short double-helical elements and three loops (D, anti-codon, and T loops). Further hydrogen bonds mediate the characteristic L-shaped molecular structure. tRNAs have two regions of fundamental functional importance: the anti-codon, which is responsible for specific mRNA codon recognition, and the 3' end, to which the tRNAs corresponding amino acid is attached (by aminoacyl-tRNA synthetases). tRNAs cope with the degeneracy of the genetic code in two manners: having more than one tRNA (with a specific anti-codon) for a particular amino acid; and 'wobble' base-pairing, i.e. permitting non-standard base-pairing at the 3rd anti-codon position. Lineage: Eukaryota; Metazoa; Chordata; Mammalia; Carnivora; Ursidae. The record is from Rfam by way of RNAcentral.